This 587-nucleotide ribosomal RNA is filed under the name Aspergillus fumigatus. RNAcentral's name for it is "eukaryotic LSU rRNA". The stretch from base 223 to 376 matches the Rfam family "5.8S ribosomal RNA". The record is from RNAcentral. Lineage: Eukaryota; Fungi; Ascomycota; Eurotiomycetes; Eurotiales; Aspergillaceae.
CAAGGUUUCCGUAGGUGAACCUGCGGAAGGAUCAUUACCGAGUGAGGGCCCUCUGGGUCCAACCUCCCACCCGUGUCUAUCGUACCUUGUUGCUUCGGCGGGCCCGCCGUUUCGACGGCCGCCGGGGAGGCCUUGCGCCCCCGGGCCCGCGCCCGCCGAAGACCCCAACAUGAACGCUGUUCUGAAAGUAUGCAGUCUGAGUUGAUUAUCGUAAUCAGUUAAAACUUUCAACAACGGAUCUCUUGGUUCCGGCAUCGAUGAAGAACGCAGCGAAAUGCGAUAAGUAAUGUGAAUUGCAGAAUUCAGUGAAUCAUCGAGUCUUUGAACGCACAUUGCGCCCCCUGGUAUUCCGGGGGGCAUGCCUGUCCGAGCGUCAUUGCUGCCCUCAAGCACGGCUUGUGUGUUGGGCCCCCGUCCCCCUCUCCCGGGGGACGGGCCCGAAAGGCAGCGGCGGCACCGCGUCCGGUCCUCGAGCGUAUGGGGCUUUGUCACCUGCUCUGUAGGCCCGGCCGGCGCCAGCCGACACCCAACUUUAUUUUUCUAAGGUUGACCUCGGAUCAGGUAGGGAUACCCGCUGAACUUAAGCA